AAAAGAACCCCGGCGAGGGGAGUGAAAAAGAACCUGAAACCGUGUACGUACAAGCAGUGGGAGCACGCUUCGGCGUGUGACUGCGUACCUUUUGUAUAAUGGGUCAGCGACUUAUAUUCUGUAGCAAGGUUAACCGAAUAGGGGAGCCGAAGGGAAACCGAGUCUUAACUGGGCGUUAAGUUGCAGGGUAUAGACCCGAAACCCGGUGAUCUAGCCAUGGGCAGGUUGAAGGUUGGGUAACACUAACUGGAGGACCGAACCGACUAAUGUUGAAAAAUUAGCGGAUGACUUGUGGCUGGGGGUGAAAGGCCAAUCAAACCGGGAGAUAGCUGGUUCUCCCCGAAAGCUAUUUAGGUAGCGCCUCGUGAAUUCAUCUCCGGGGGUAGAGCACUGUUUCGGCAAGGGGGUCAUCCCGACUUACCAACCCGAUGCAAACUGCGAAUACCGGAGAAUGUUAUCACGGGAGACACACGGCGGGUGCUAACGUCCGUCGUGAAGAGGGAAACAACCCAGACCGCCAGCUAAGGUCCCAAAGUCAUGGUUAAGUGGGAAACGAUGUGGGAAGGCCCAGACAGCCAGGAUGUUGGCUUAGAAGCAGCCAUCAUUUAAAGAAAGCGUAAUAGCUCACUGGUCGAGUCGGCCUGCGCGGAAGAUGUAACGGGGCUAAACCAUGCACCGAAGCUGCGGCAGCGACACUAUGUGUUGUUGGGUAGGGGAGCGUUCUGUAAGCCUGUGAAGGUGUACUGUGAGGUAUGCUGGAGGUAUCAGAAGUGCGAAUGCUGACAUAAGUAACGAUAAAGCGGGUGAAAAGCCCGCUCGCCGGAAGACCAAGGGUUCCUGUCCAACGUUAAUCGGGGCAGGGUGAGUCGACCCCUAAGGCGAGGCCGAAAGGCGUAGUCGAUGGGAAACAGGUUAAUAUUCCUGUACUUGGUGUUACUGCGAAGGGGGGACGGAGAAGGCUAUGUUGGCCGGGCGACGGUUGUCCCGGUUUAAGCGUGUAGGCUGGUUUUCCAGGCAAAUCCGGAAAAUCAAGGCUGAGGCGUGAUGACGAGGCACUACGGUGCUGAAGCAACAAAUGCCCUGCUUCCAGGAAAAGCCUCUAAGCAUCAGGUAACAUCAAAUCGUACCCCAAACCGACACAGGUGGUCAGGUAGAGAAUACCAAGGCGCUUGAGAGAACUCGGGUGAAGGAACUAGGCAAAAUGGUGCCGUAACUUCGGGAGAAGGCACGCUGAUAUGUAGGUGAAGCGACUUGCUCGUGGAGCUGAAAUCAGUCGAAGAUACCAGCUGGCUGCAACUGUUUAUUAAAAACACAGCACUGUGCAAACACGAAAGUGGACGUAUACGGUGUGACGCCUGCCCGGUGCCGGAAGGUUAAUUGAUGGGGUUAGCGGUAACGCGAAGCUCUUGAUCGAAGCCCCGGUAAACGGCGGCCGUAACUAUAACGGUCCUAAGGUAGCGAAAUUCCUUGUCGGGUAAGUUCCGACCUGCACGAAUGGCGUAAUGAUGGCCAGGCUGUCUCCACCCGAGACUCAGUGAAAUUGAACUCGCUGUGAAGAUGCAGUGUACCCGCGGCAAGACGGAAAGACCCCGUGAACCUUUACUAUAGCUUGACACUGAACAUUGAGCCUUGAUGUGUAGGAUAGGUGGGAGGCUUUGAAGUGUGG
This 1666-nucleotide ribosomal RNA is filed under the name Escherichia coli. RNAcentral describes it as "partial 23S ribosomal RNA". It matches the Rfam family "Bacterial large subunit ribosomal RNA", at positions 517 to 2167 of the family's 2925-position model. Lineage: Bacteria; Pseudomonadati; Pseudomonadota; Gammaproteobacteria; Enterobacterales; Enterobacteriaceae. The record is from RNAcentral.